AUCCGAUGGGGUAUUGUUGCCUUGUCGAGGAGCUUCCCGGAAACGAAAGUCUUUCGGUUCCGGGGUAGUAUGGUUGCAAAGCUGAAACUUAAAGAAAUUGACGGAAUGGCACCACCAGGAGUGGAGCCUGCGGCUUAAUUUGACUCAACACGGGAAAACUCACCCGGCCCGGACACCGUAAGGAUUGACAGAUUGAAAGCUCUUUCUCGAUUUGGUGGUUGGUGGUGCAUGGCCGUUCUUAGUUGGUGGAGCGAUUUGUCUGGUUUAUUCCGAUAACGAGCGAGACUCUAGCCUGCUAAAUAGUGACUAGAUUUUUAUGUCUAGUCUACUUCUUAGAGGGAUAAGCGGUGUUUAGCCGCACGAGAUUGAGCGAUAACAGGUCUGUGAUGCCCUUAGAUGUCCGGGGCUGCACGCGCGCUACAAUGGAAGAAUCAGCUGGCCUAUCCAUUGCCGAAAGGUAUUGGUAAACCGUUGAAACUCUUCCGUGACCGGGAUAGGGAAUUGUAACUAUUUCCCUUGAACGAGGAAUUCCUAGUAAGUGUGAGUCAUCAGCUCACGCU
This 560-nucleotide ribosomal RNA is filed under the name Crenosoma vulpis. Its description in RNAcentral is "SSU rRNA". It matches the Rfam family "Eukaryotic small subunit ribosomal RNA", at positions 1052 to 1642 of the family's 1831-position model. The record is from RNAcentral. Lineage: Eukaryota; Metazoa; Nematoda; Chromadorea; Rhabditida; Crenosomatidae.